Molecule: long non-coding RNA, 866 nt
Organism: Alexandromys fortis (reed vole)
Lineage: Eukaryota; Metazoa; Chordata; Mammalia; Rodentia; Cricetidae
Exons: 3
Source: RefSeq, a predicted model, not a curated record
GCUAUCCAUGUCAAGUUGGGUUUCCACCACUAGGGUUCUUUCAGUCUGAGUUCUGUCCCGAAGCAAGUGGUCCACACAAACGUGGCAACAGGAGGAAGUUUCACAAAGGGAUUACAGCCUUUUACAAAGGCGUGGGAAGGGUUGGGAGCAAAAGGAUACGAGGGUGUUUGGUGCAGAACUGCGCCCCCCGCCCUCCCCGCCUAAAGGGAAGAGGGCUGCCUGACUGGAACUGCAGCACUCUGAGCCAGAGUCAAGUGACCUUAGAUGGUACGCAGGCGCGGGUAAAUGGAAUACUUUGAUUCCAGUCUUCUUUUGUUGGCGUGUCGCCAGUGCCUCAGCUUGGCUGAACACCACCAGCAGCGCGCGCACUCCCGCAGCUCAGCUCUGCAUACCAGUAGAGUGAGCAGAGUGGAGAAGCAAGGAUAUGCAGGUGGGAGGUAUCCGACCAACAGAAGCUCAAUAAAUACUUGCAAACUGAGAAAGAAGUUAUCGCCCUGGACCCCACGUUCAGGGCUGCCAGUUAAGCGCGCAGACAUAACCUUGGACUCGUGAUUCCACCUCCCACUCCCUGGGAUUACAGAGACGUACCUGGCAGUAACUGAAAAUGUUUUGAGGCUAAACUAAAAGGCCAAACACGGACUGCCAAGUGAAGCAAACUGCUGUAGAAAACCGCAUGGAGACCAGAAAGAGCACGCUGGUUUUGGUAACAGCAAAAUGUUGCUCUGUGUGAAGAACUAGGAUCAACGCUCAUUCUCCCUCAAACUGUUGGCACAGUCCAUCAUGAAGCCACACUGCUGGGAAGCCACACUGCCCUACUUCUGUUUGAUGGAAGACUGAUUGAAUCUCGUUGCUCGCUGACUAUUAAA